AGUCAUCUGAAUUAUCUAAAGAAACAUGCAGAUUAUAACUAAUAGUUGCAGAAUAUUAUAAUUUCAGGAGAGUGGGAAAGAACAUGAUAUGAAUUUCAUUUGAAUUUGUUGAGACAUUAAUGGAAGAAGCAAAAAAGAUAUAUAUAUAUUUAAAAUGUAUAUCUUUUAUCAGUGUUCAAUAGUUUUGUUGACUUGAGCACUUUUAAAUUUGAUUCUAGAAUAGAAGAGUUUUUAGUUUGUACACAAUGUUGAUG
Molecule: unclassified non-coding RNA, 254 nt
Filed under: Hevea brasiliensis (rubber tree)
Lineage: Eukaryota; Viridiplantae; Streptophyta; Magnoliopsida; Malpighiales; Euphorbiaceae
Source: RNAcentral